Molecule: ribosomal RNA, 489 nt
Filed under: uncultured bacterium
Lineage: Bacteria
Description: partial 16S ribosomal RNA
Rfam family: Bacterial small subunit ribosomal RNA
Source: RNAcentral
UUGAACGCUGGCGGCAGGCCUAACCCCUGCAAGUCGAACGGUAACAGGAAGCAGCUUGCUGCUUCGCUGACGAGUGGCGGACGGGUGAGUAAUGUCUGGGAAGCUGCCUGAUGGAGGGGGAUAACUACUGGAAACGGUAGCUAAUACCGCAUAAUGUCGCAAGACCAAAGAGGGGGACCUUCGGGCCUCUUGCCAUCGGAUGUGCCCAGAUGGGAUUAGCUUGUUGGUGGGGUAACGGCUCACCAAGGCGACGAUCCCUAGCUGGUCUGAGAGGAUGACCAGCCACACUGGAACUGAGACACGGUCCAGACUCCUACGGGAGGCAGCAGUGGGGAAUAUUGCACAAUGGGCGCAAGCCUGAUGCAGCCAUGCCGCGUGUAUGAAGAAGGCCUUCGGGUUGUAAAGUACUUUCAGCGGGGAGGAAGGGAGUAAAGUUAAUACCUUUGCUCAUUGACGUUACCCGCAGAAGAAGCACCGGCUAACUCCGUG